RNAcentral lists this ribosomal RNA (335 nucleotides) under uncultured bacterium. RNAcentral describes it as "bacterial SSU rRNA". It matches the Rfam family "Bacterial small subunit ribosomal RNA", at positions 28 to 363 of the family's 1533-position model. The record is from RNAcentral.
GACGAACGCUGGCGGCGUGCCUAACACAUGCAAGUCAACUUGACUGAAGGAGCAAUCUGACAGUAGAGUGGCGCAAGGGUGCGUAACGCGUAAGUAACUUGCCCCAAGGUAAGGAAUAACGUCGAGAAAUCGGCGCUAAUACCUCAUAAUGCAGCGGAUCCGCAUGGAUAUGUUGUUAAAGGUUUACCGCCUUGGGAUAGGCUUGCGUCUGAUUAGCUAGUUGGUGUGGUAACGGCACACCAAGGCUACGAUCAGUAACUGGUCUGAGAGGAUGAUCAGUCACACUGGAACUGAGACACGGUCAGACUCCGUACGGGAGGCAGCAGUGAGGAAUA